ACAGUAUUUCCCACUAAAAUUUCACUUUAUCUUGGCAAAGGAGAACCAAUGAGCCCAGAUACAUGUAUCUUCAACUUACAUCAUUUGAAAAUUCAAGAGUAAACUCCUACUAGUUUGAUAACAAUUUCUAAUCACCAUAUAACUAGCUCGAAGGUACAAAAUAUUGGAGGAACACCAUGAAUUAAGCAUGAUACAUGCCAAAACUACUGCAGUAAAACAGGUUCUCUAGAGUCUCAUUUGAGAAAAGUACAGGACAGAAACAAGAAAACAUAUAUGAAGAGAGACGUUAAGAGUUCAAGACUCCACGUUGGUUGCAGCAGAAAUGAAGGAAUUAUGGGAACCAACAGUGAACCACAAAACCAACCAGCCACAAGGCCUCCAAACCCUAUAAGAGCAGCUCUACCUAAGCUCUUUGUCUUGUCAUUAAGGAAGUAUACACAAGCUCCAAAUGAUAUUGCUACCUGGAAUGCAGGGCCAGCUUCAGCAGAGUUCAUCACACUCCAGCAUGCCAUGAAUCCAAAGAGGAAUAAUCUCCUCAUGAUAAUUACAGGUGGUGGAAGUUCCACAAAGCUGAGGAGGUUCUGAACCCAUGGUGGAGAUUCCUCGACUUGCUUUUUUAGCCUUGUUUUCAAGUUAAUCUUUGUCUUCUUUCUAUUUAUGAAGCUUUUCAUUAGUAUCUUCUCAAAAGCAGCUUCAAUUGAUUCUGCACUUCUCUCAUGAUUGGCAUACUGGUUUAACAAAAAGUUGCGCGAACUCCAAAUUUCUUCCUCAGAGGCAUCACGGCUUAUUCCAAGACGUUUGUAAGGGUCCCAAACAUUCAAUCGAGAAAACUUCGGAACAUUACCUCCAUAAGCCGUAUCCGUUGCACAUUUUGUACCUUUUGAAAACAAACGAGAGGGUUCCGACCUCUUCGAAUUUCCUCUACUCGAAAUUUUUUGGCCGAGGAAAGCAGAGGAAAGGGAAGGCUUCAAUAUGAGAGUUGCCGCCAUGAAAUUCGUUCUCUCCAAUAGAGAAAAAGAACCCUAGAUUUUGAACUGAUUUCUUAUAGUGGAGAAAAUUUUUCCAUAGAGGCCGUGCCGGCCGAGAGGGUUUAAUCCGGUUAGGUGGAAGUUGAAAGCCGUGGAAGAAGAAAGGAACUUCUUGCUAAGCUUUUCGAUAUGUAUACGGUGAAAAAUCGAAAGAG
This 1183-nucleotide unclassified non-coding RNA is filed under the name Hevea brasiliensis (rubber tree). The record is from RNAcentral. Lineage: Eukaryota; Viridiplantae; Streptophyta; Magnoliopsida; Malpighiales; Euphorbiaceae.